UACGGGGGGUGCAAGCGUUACUCGGAAUCACUGGGCGUAAAGGAUGCGUAGGCGGCUUAAUAAGUCUCGUGUGAAAUCCCAUGGCUUAACCAUGGAACUGCACGGGAAACUAUUUAGCUAGAGUUCGGAAGAGGCAGAUGGAAUUAGUGGUGUAGGGGUAAAAUCCGUAGAUAUCACUAGGAAUAUCGAUGGCGAAGGCGAUCUGCUGGGACGAUACUGACGCUGAGGCAUGAAAGCGUGGGGAGCAAACAGG
RNAcentral lists this ribosomal RNA (253 nucleotides) under uncultured bacterium. RNAcentral describes it as "partial 16S ribosomal RNA". It matches the Rfam family "Bacterial small subunit ribosomal RNA", at positions 524 to 776 of the family's 1533-position model. The record is from RNAcentral.